This 500-nucleotide ribosomal RNA is filed under the name uncultured bacterium. Its description in RNAcentral is "bacterial SSU rRNA". It matches the Rfam family "Bacterial small subunit ribosomal RNA", at positions 15 to 507 of the family's 1533-position model. The record is from RNAcentral.
GAUCAUGGCUCAGAUUGAACGCUGGCGGCAUGCCUUACACAUGCAAGUCGAACGGCAGCACGGGAGCUUGCUCCUGGUGGCGAGUGGCGAACGGGUGAGUAAUACAUCGGAACGUACCCUGAAGUGGGGGGAUAACGUAGCGAAAGUUACGCUAAUACCGCAUAUUCUGUGAGCAGGAAAGAGGGGGAUCGCAAGACCUCUUGCUUUAGGAGCGGCCGAUGUCGGAUUAGCUAGUUGGUGAGGUAAAGGCUCACCAAGGCGACGAUCCGUAGCGGGUCUGAGAGGAUGAUCCGCCACACUGGGACUGAGACACGGCCCAGACUCCUACGGGAGGCAGCAGUGGGGAAUUUUGGACAAUGGGCGGAAGCCUGAUCCAGCCAUGCCGCGUGAGUGAAGAAGGCCUUCGGGUUGUAAAGCUCUUUCGGCCGGGAAGAAAUCGCAUGGGUUAAUACCCUGUGUGGAUGACGGUACCGGCAUAAGAAGCACCGGCUAACUACGUG